GCUUUUUUAAAAAAGAUUUUUGUUUAUUGGAGUGAGAGAGCGCAAAAGUGAGUGAGCAGGGAGAGGCAAAGGGGAAAGGAAAAGGAAUCUAAAGCAGAAUCUGCACUGAAUAUGGAGCCCUACUCGGGGCUGGAUCCCAUAACUGCAAGAUCAUGACCAGAGCCAAAACCAAGAGUCUGAUGCUCAACCAACUGAGCCAUGUAGGUGCCCCUGCAAGGCUUUUGGAAAAGACCCCUUUAGCCUUGCAGAAGUUCUGCUCAUCUUGUUCUGUGUAAUCUUUUUUUUUUUAAAAAGAUUUUAUUUAUUUAUUUGACAGAGAUCACAAGUAGGCAGAGAGGUAGGCAGGGAAAGAGGAGGAAGCAGGCUCCCUGCUGAGCAGAGAGCCCGAUGUGAGGCUUGAUCCCAGGACCCUGGGAUCAUGACCUGAACUGAAGGCAGAGGCUUUAACCCACUGAGCCACCCAGGUGCCCCUGUAUAAUUGUUUUUUAAAAGAUUUUAUUUUUAAAUAAUCUCUACACCCAGUGUGGGGUUCAAACUUACAACCCUGAAAUCAAGAGUCAGACUCUCAACUGACAAAGCCACCCAGGCACACCUUUAUAAUCAGUUUUAAGCCUUAUACCUAUUGCCUCUCAAACAUUCGUAGAAAUAACGUGCCCAAUUAGGGUCAUGCUAGCUCAGCACUUUGAGAUGAUCUUCAACAUUUAUCUCAGACGGGAAAUGCCUGACAGUUCUCCCUCCUCCUCUUCCCUGUUACUCAAAUGUGACUUCACCGGUUUCCAUUCUACACACUUUCCCUCCCAUGGGGGACAUGACCACCAGGAAAGAUCCUUUCUGACACCAAGGGGAUGAAAACACUAAAUAUGAAAAAAAAAAAACCCAAAAAACAAAACCACCACAACACAACCCUGACUUUUGAUUAGCAGUGCUUUUGAGAAAGACCUUGAUCAAAAGGGGGAGAUGUGAAAAUAAAGGAAACUUUAUUUAAAAUGGAGUCAGGAAGCCCCGAAGGGGGAGCUCUCAUGCAUUACCUCUUGGUGGAAGAAGCAUUAUCCCACAAUUCCCAGCAGGAAGCAGCUUGCUUUUGGUAUCCCAGCCUGAGGAAGGAUGAAUUUCUCCUUGCCCAGCAACAGCCCAGUUAGUGAGCGCUCAAUGAAACAGUCCCUCCUCUUUUCCCCUGGGAAAGCAAGCCCCUCUCCUCUGUUCUCUGGGUUUGCCUAUGGAUUGCCACAGUUUGCUUGUUCUGAAUUACAAUUCCUCUGCUCUUCCUCAAUAAACUCAUUUUGCUGGUAAAAUAACGGCUCUUUUGUUUUUUAAGGUUAAUGGAAGCUGAAACCACCUGAGGUUUCUGGGAACAGACUGACGGGGUCUGAAAAACUGAGUAUUACUCAUCAGGUGGGACCAGUGGCCAGAGGUCUGCGUUUCCGCCUCCCCCAUUGCUGCUCCAUCCAUCCUGUGCCUGAAAUACAAGUAGGCUAAUUCCAAGGUGUAGCCGGAGUUGAGAACCACACUGCUCUCGUCCCACUGUUCAUGUCUGUCAUCUAGUCAAUGUCAUCCUGCGGGACUACGGACAUGGAGAGCUGACACCAUGAUGAUCUAGCUUUGCUGCCUAUGUAAGUAAUAAGCUGUCUAUAGUCAUUUGGAUUCAUGGUUUUCUUGAUGGCUGAAUCUGUGCCGGUGUAGUGAGCCAGCCGAGCAGCUGCCCACACGCUGCUGUUUCAGGACUGCCUGACGGCUUAAGAGUACUUCCAGACUGUAUAACUGGAUUGGAAAAGCUUAGCAAUUGGCAGAACCUUCGUGUUGGUUGUUUGGCCAGUAGUGUAAGAGCUGUUGUAAUAGUAAAGGCCAACUAGAACCCUCAGAAACUCCUCACCACCACCUACCAACAUAAUAAGUAAAUAAAAGUUAAAAACCGUAUUGUAUCCCAGGGAGAAUUGCAGAAUUUAGUGCUCUCAGAGACUUGUACAAUGCAUUCUGCCAUCAGAUACCUAUUAAAUUCACUAGUGUGGCCCCCCAAAAACAGAUGUAUCAUGGCAGGUGACAAUAGGAGGUACCACAGAUUUUACUGAGCAGUACCAGUGGCUCUGUCGGAUGUGGUAUCUUUGCUAGAGCAGAUCAACACAGCCUUUUGUAUGUGGCUGUUGAUCUACUGAAUGUGUUCUUUUCUUUUUUUUUUUUUUUUUAAGAUUUUAUGUAUUUAUU
This is a long non-coding RNA of Mustela lutreola (European mink), 2199 nucleotides long. RefSeq lists it as uncharacterized. The record is from RefSeq and is a predicted model, not a curated record. NCBI's taxonomy places the organism in Eukaryota, Metazoa, Chordata, Mammalia, Carnivora, Mustelidae. The transcript has 3 exons.